Molecule: long non-coding RNA, 366 nt
Filed under: Mytilus galloprovincialis (Mediterranean mussel)
Lineage: Eukaryota; Metazoa; Mollusca; Bivalvia; Mytilida; Mytilidae
Source: RNAcentral
AACAUUAAAAUCAGAUUUAAUAGUCUGAGUGUUUUAUCACAUGGGUUUAAUCAUGAUCUAUUCCUGUCUCUUUUCUUGAUACUUUGGAUGUCCGGUCUGCAGAUGUUGGAGUAGUUUUGUCACUUCUGUUGCGUUUUCGAUCAAUCGGAGUGUUUGAUACGGUGAAGUUUGUAUUUGGGCUAUUUAGAAACUCACAAAGUUUACUGUUAAUUCUUUGUGCGCCUUCUGUGCUGACGUGUACCCCGCUACUGUCAUUUUUAUCAAACAAUGUUCUGAUUACAGCUCCGUGUUUAUAAAAUUGAUCAUUUAUAUCAACAAAUGCUACAGAUUGUUCUCGAACACAAAGUUUUUUCAUGAAACUAUUUA